UGUAGGUCUGACUGCAGGGUGCCUCCCGGGGCGCCUGAGAGGGCGGGAUCUCGUCCUCCGAGUCGGACUCCAGGGUCUGGUGAGUGUACUGGAAGAUCUCCUUCAGCUUCAGAACCAUCUGGCGUUUGGGCAGCGGGCGGACUCCAAACCUGAAUGAGAAAGCAGGUGAGCACCAGGACUCCACACUCGGCACCACCUCCUCGUUCCGGCAAAGAGCAGUUACCAACACGUGCAGUGACGAGCUCUGUGCGGCUGAGCCGUGGUACAACUCUAGAAAGCGUUCAGAGGUUAGCAUCUGUGCUGGGCACCGACUGAGCAGCCGGAGAGCUGACGCGGCUCACUGCAGGGGACUCCACAUGCUUGCAGACCACAGGGAGCAUGCCCACUGGAGCAGAUUAAAGAACCUCUGCCCAGCCCAGGGCCAGCUGCGUCCACCAGACCUGAAGCGACCACACGGUGCCGCUCCGCUUCCAGGGCUGCCAAGCCUGGCUACGUGAGAGAGGGAAGAGCCCGCCUGGGAGGGACUCUGGGGAGCAGCACUGACCUGUCCAGCUCUUUCUUCAGCACCGGCGUCUCCAUGAUGGAGUACCUUGGCAUUGGCGUUAUGGGCACUUUGGGGGGCAGCUUCUUCUUCCGAUGAGCACCUUCGGGCAAAACAAAAGCAGCACCCAUUUCAACACGAGGGGUCCGGACUAACCGCUCUGAUCCUGGCGGGGCCACCAAGAGAAAUCAGCUCUUGGAGACGACACCACCGUGACUUUGCUCCACGAGAGCAUGAAUGAGCUCCGUGCUCAGUGUUUGGAAAUGAGGUGCCGCCUCGGAAGGCAGCCCACGGUGCACACGCCCCGUGCCUGGUGGAGCCGACGCUGCGUGAAUGGUGUUCCUGGAGCUGGGCAGCCCCACACACAGCCACACGUAAACGAACUUGAAAAUGCUUCAGCAUGCCGCAGCAACCUGAGAGUGGGCGAUGUCCUUCAAGCAGGCAGACAUCAGUAUUAUUUUUAUAAAUCAACUAUUUAGAAAUGUCCCAGUUAAGAACAGGCAAAGGGCCUCAACGUACACUUCAAAGAACAUACACAGGGGCUGGUGCCGUGGUGCGGGCCCAGAGUCCCAUAUGGGCACUGGCUUAAGUCCCAGCGGCUGUUGCUCCCGAGCCUGGGAGGGCAGCCCAAGUACGUGGGUCUCUGCCACCAGUGGGGGAGACAGAGUGGCCCGGCCCUGGCUGUUGUGGCCAUGUAGGGAGCGAACCAGCGGAUGGAAAAUCUGUCUCCUUCUCUGGGACUGCCUUUUCUUAAAAACAAACAAACAAAAGCCACAGACAUCGAAGACAAACCACAGAUGCCGCCUCCUACCCGGGAUACUUUGUCAUGAGGAUGCAGGAACUGGACCCCCCACGCGCUGGGGGGGGAUGUCACGUGGUGCAGCCACCUUGGGGAGCAGCUGGGUUCCUCAGAGAGUGACCCCACAGGUCCACUCCCGAUGAACACUUGCAUUCCUCACGCAGCCAGGACUGCGAAGGCUGGAUGGAAGAGCAGAGGCGUCCGUGCGUAGAUCGCGAACCUCAGGCUCAGAGAAGGACGCCAGACCCCAGACUCGGUGGCUCGGUUUGGGUGUCUAGGCCGGGCAGAUCCAGAGAUGGAGAGUGGGUGCGUGAGGAAAAUGUCUGCGAUCCGUGGUGGCGGUCGCACCCUCGUGAACGCGGUGACAGCCACUGAACUGUGCACCUUGGAAAGUGACCUCUGGUGUGCGAUCCCUGUCAAGCCGAGAGUCACGUGAGACCGGGGCGUCUCCAUGCCUCCUGCCCUUCACAGCCCCGUGCCCGAGUCUCCCGCCUGCUGCAGGGUUCUCACAGCACCCCUGGGAACCGGUGAGAAAUGCAAAUUCUGGGUCGCCUU
This is a long non-coding RNA of Lepus europaeus (European hare), 1895 nucleotides long. RefSeq lists it as uncharacterized. The record is from RefSeq and is a predicted model, not a curated record. The transcript is spliced from 3 exons. Lineage: Eukaryota; Metazoa; Chordata; Mammalia; Lagomorpha; Leporidae.